Molecule: unclassified non-coding RNA, 381 nt
Filed under: Hevea brasiliensis (rubber tree)
Lineage: Eukaryota; Viridiplantae; Streptophyta; Magnoliopsida; Malpighiales; Euphorbiaceae
Source: RNAcentral
GUGAACAAUCAGAUAAUUAACUACAGAUGUGACCCUUCAGAGAAGUGGUUGGUUCUGAUUGGCAUAGCUCCUGGUUCACCUGAGAGGCAACAAUUGGUUAAGGGGAACAUGCAACUUUUCUCUGUGGAUCAGCAGCGUAGUCAAGCUCUUGAAGCUCAUGCUGCAUCAUUUGCCCAAUUUAAGGUUCCUGGAAAUGAGAAUCCUUCCAUUCUCAUUUCUUUUGCCACAAAAUCUUUCAAUGCUGGGCAGAUUACAUCGAAGUUGCAUGUCAUUGAACUUGGUGCUCAACCAGGGAAGCCAUCAUUUACGAAGAAACAGGCUGAUCUUUUCUUUCCUCCCGACUUUGCUGAUGACUUUCCUGUUGCAAUGCAGAUAUCCCAC